Molecule: small RNA, 613 nt
Filed under: Pongo abelii (Sumatran orangutan)
Lineage: Eukaryota; Metazoa; Chordata; Mammalia; Primates; Hominidae
Description: processed transcript
Source: RNAcentral
AAAAUAAAGCAAAGUUGGAAUUGAAUUAGGAACAAGCAAAGUUUGAGAGGUGACAGUUCUUAAAACCAAACUGAGUGCUGAAUGUGACUGAUCCCACAGAUAUGUGCAGCAGGGGCUACAGCGAGUGGGGCUAGAUCCCCAGCUGCCACUGAAUCUGGCUGCCCUUCAGGCCCACCUGGCCCAGGAGAACCGUGUGGUGGCCUUCUUCAGCCUGGCUCUACUGCUUGCCCCACUGGUGGAGACGCUUAUUCUACUGGACCGGCUGCUGUACCUUCAGGAACAGGGUUUCCAUGCUGAGCUCCUGCCCAUCUUCAGUCCUGAACUCUCUCCCAGAAACCUGGUUCUGGUGGCCACCAAGAUGCCCCUGGGUCAGGCUCUUUCAGUUCUGGAGAUUGAAGACAGCUGAUGCAGCCUGAGGACACAUCUCAGACCCCAUCAUCUGAAAGUGCCCAGAGAGCACAGUGGCAGAGUACAUCUCAUCCAGAGAAACAGCAUCCUGCAUCCUCCAGAGUCCUGGUUCCUUCAGUUUCAUCCCCUUUCUCUCCCUCCAUGGAUUAUGUAAUACAGUAUAAAGUUUUAAUUUAUUAAAAGUUGGAAAUCUGUUUCCGUCCCA